RNAcentral lists this ribosomal RNA (492 nucleotides) under uncultured bacterium. Its description in RNAcentral is "partial 16S ribosomal RNA". It matches the Rfam family "Bacterial small subunit ribosomal RNA", at positions 30 to 507 of the family's 1533-position model. The record is from RNAcentral.
AGCGAACGCUGGCGGCAGGCCUAACACAUGCAAGUCGAACGGCAGCACCGUAAUAGCUUGCUGUUACGGGUGGCGAGUGGCGGACGGGUCAGGUAUACAUCGGAAUCUUCUUUUUCGUGUGGGAUAACGUAGGGAAACCUACGCUAGUACAGCAUACGACCCACGGGUGAAAGCCGGGGACCUUUGGACCUUGUGGGGAUGUAUGAGCCGAUGUCGGAUUAGCUUGUUGGCGGGGUAAAGGCCUACCAAGGCGACGCUCGGUAGCCGGUCCGAGAGAAUGAUUCGGCAGACGGGAAGUGAGACAGGGCCCAGACACCUAGGGGGAGCAGCAGUCGGGAAUAUUAGGCAAUGGGGGCGAGCCUGAUCCAGCGAUACCGCGUGGGGGAAGACGGCGUCCGGGUGGGAAAGCCCUGUUGUUGGGAGAAAAAAGCAGUUGUUUAAGACGCCGCGGUACUGACGGUACCCGGAGAAGAAGCACCGGCUAACUUCGUG